Molecule: transfer RNA, 69 nt
Filed under: Marmota monax (woodchuck)
Lineage: Eukaryota; Metazoa; Chordata; Mammalia; Rodentia; Sciuridae
Description: tRNA.Ala
Source: RNAcentral
GAUUUUGGCUCAGAGGUAGAGCGCUCGCUCAGCAUGUGUGAGGUGCUGGGUUCGAUCCUUAGCACUACA